CCUACGGGGGGCAGCAGUGGGGAAUUUUGGACAAUGGGCGAAAGCCUGAUCCAGCCAUUCCGCGUGCAGGAUGAAGGCCUUCGGGUUGUAAACUGCUUUUGUACGGAACGAAAAGGUCCGCUCUAAUACAGCGGGCAGAUGACGGUACCGUAAGAAUAAGCACCGGCUAACUACGUGCCAGCAGCCGCGGUAAUACGUAGGGUGCAAGCGUUAAUCGGAAUUACUGGGCGUAAAGCGUGCGCAGGCGGUUUUGUAAGACAGAGGUGAAAUCCCCGGGCUC
This 280-nucleotide ribosomal RNA is filed under the name uncultured Pseudomonadota bacterium. Its description in RNAcentral is "uncultured proteobacterium partial 16S ribosomal RNA". It matches the Rfam family "Bacterial small subunit ribosomal RNA", at positions 338 to 610 of the family's 1533-position model. The record is from RNAcentral. Lineage: Bacteria; Pseudomonadati; Pseudomonadota.